RNAcentral lists this ribosomal RNA (501 nucleotides) under uncultured bacterium. RNAcentral describes it as "partial 16S ribosomal RNA". It matches the Rfam family "Bacterial small subunit ribosomal RNA", at positions 30 to 523 of the family's 1533-position model. The record is from RNAcentral.
AUUGAACGCUGGCGGUAUGCUUAACACAUGCAAGUCGAACGGUAACGGGCUUUUCGGAGCGCCGACGAGUGGCGAACGGGUGAGUAAUACGUAGGAACUUGCCUACUAGAGAGGGAUAACUUAGGGAAACUUAAGCUAAUACCUCGUAAUAUCUAAGGAUUAAAGCAUGGGACCUUCGGGCCAUGCGCUAGUAGAUAGGCCUGCGUUGGAUUAGCUUGUUGGUGGGGUAAAGGCCUACCAAGGCGAGGAUCCAUAGCUGUUCUGAGAGGAUGAUCAGCCACACUGGGACUGAGACACGGCCCAGACUCCUACGGGAGGCAGCAGUGGGGAAUAUUGGACAAUGGGCGAAAGCCUGAUCCAGCAAUACCGCGUGUGUGAAGAAGGCCUGUGGGUUGUAAAGCACUUUCAGUUGGGAAGAUUGAUAUUAGUGUUAAUAGCAUUAAUAUUUGACGUUACUAACAGAAGAAGCACCGGCUAACUCUGUGCCAGCCGCCGCGGUAA